This 457-nucleotide ribosomal RNA is filed under the name uncultured Chloroflexota bacterium. RNAcentral's name for it is "bacterial SSU rRNA". It matches the Rfam family "Bacterial small subunit ribosomal RNA", at positions 916 to 1381 of the family's 1533-position model. The record is from RNAcentral. Lineage: Bacteria; Bacillati; Chloroflexota.
ACGGGGCCCGCACAAGCAGCGGAGCGUGUGGUUUAAUUCGAUGCAACGCGAAGAACCUUACCAGGGCUUGACAUGCUUGAAGUAGAAACUCGAAAGAGGGACGACCUGUAUCCAAUCAGGAGCUUGCACAGGUGCUGCAUGGCUGUCGUCAGCUCGUGCCGUGAGGUGUUAGGUUAAGUCCUGCAACGAGCGCAACCCUCGUCGCUAGUUAAUUUUUCUAGCGAUACUGCCCGUAUAACGCGGAGGAAGGUGGGGAUGACGUCAAGUCAGCAUGGCCCUUACGUCCUGGGCUACACACACGCUACAAUGGGUGAUACAAAAGGUUGCAAUAGAGUGAUCUGGAGCUAAUCCUGAAAAUCAUCCUCAGUUCGGAUUGUAGGCUGAAACUGCCUGCAUGAAGUUGGAGUUGAUAGUAACCGCAGGUCAGCACACUGCGGUGAAUACGUUCUCGGGCCUU